Molecule: ribosomal RNA, 497 nt
Filed under: uncultured bacterium
Lineage: Bacteria
Description: partial 16S ribosomal RNA
Rfam family: Bacterial small subunit ribosomal RNA
Source: RNAcentral
GAUGAACGCUGGCGGCGUGCCUAUUACAUGCAAGUCGAGCGAACAGACGAGGAGCUUGCUCCUCUGACGUUAGCGGCGGACGGGUGAGUAACACGUGGAUAACCUACCUAUAAGACUGGGAUAACUUCGGGAAACCGGAGCUAAUACCGGAUAAUAUAUUGAACCGCAUGGUUCAAUAGUGAAAGACGGUUUUGCUGUCACUUAUAGAUGGAUCCGCGCCGCAUUAGCUAGUUGGUAAGGUAACGGCUUACCAAGGCAACGAUGCGUAGCCGACCUGAGAGGGUGAUCGGCCACACUGGAACUGAGACACGGUCCAGACUCCUACGGGAGGCAGCAGUAGGGAAUCUUCCGCAAUGGGCGAAAGCCUGACGGAGCAACGCCGCGUGAGUGAUGAAGGUCUUCGGAUCGUAAAACUCUGUUAUUAGGGAAGAACAAAUGUGUAAGUAACUAUGCACGUCUUGACGGUACCUAAUCAGAAAGCCACGGCUAACUACGUG